AUUGCCCCCAGAGGAAGUGGCGACUAACUCUGUGCCAGCAGUCGCGGUAAUACAGAGGCCACAAGCAUUAGUCGGAAUCACUGGGCUUAAAGGGUGCGUAGGUUGUCCAUCAAGUGCUUUGUGAAAUCCCACGGCUCAACCGUGGAACAGCAGGGCAUACUGAUGGACUUGAGGCAAGUAGGGGCUGACGGAACAGUAGGUGGAGCGGUGAAAUGCGUAGAUAUCUACUGGAACGCCGAUGGUGAAGACGGUCAGCUGGGCUUGUCCUGACACUGAGGCACGAAAGCGUGGGGAGCAAACAGGAUUAGAUACCCUGGUAGUCCACGCUGUAAACGAUGCGCACUGGACCGGUGCGGUUUUGACGCCGUAUCGGUCGUAGUAAAAACGAUAAGUGCGCCGCCUGGGGAGUACGGUCGCAAGAUUAAAACUCAAAGGAAUUGACGGGAGCUCACACAAGCGGUGGAGCAUGUUGCUUAAUUCGAGGCAACGCGAAGAACCUUACCUGGGUUUGACAUGCUUGGAUUAACCUCUUGAAAGAGAGGCCACGCCCUUUGG
RNAcentral lists this ribosomal RNA (555 nucleotides) under uncultured bacterium. Its description in RNAcentral is "bacterial SSU rRNA". It matches the Rfam family "Bacterial small subunit ribosomal RNA", at positions 474 to 1024 of the family's 1533-position model. The record is from RNAcentral.